AAGAGCGAAGCAAUGAAGUUUUGACUUGGUAAAAAAUAUUCAGUUUUGAGCGUGCAAGCUCAAGCAAAGAG
This 71-nucleotide ribosomal RNA is filed under the name Lactobacillus delbrueckii subsp. bulgaricus. Lineage: Bacteria; Bacillati; Bacillota; Bacilli; Lactobacillales; Lactobacillaceae. The record is from RNAcentral.